This 506-nucleotide ribosomal RNA is filed under the name Palassocoris sp. Msp039. RNAcentral describes it as "partial large subunit ribosomal RNA". It matches the Rfam family "Bacterial large subunit ribosomal RNA", at positions 1831 to 2601 of the family's 2925-position model. The record is from RNAcentral. Lineage: Eukaryota; Metazoa; Arthropoda; Insecta; Hemiptera; Miridae.
UCUUUUGUUUAUAUAAAAGAUUUGACCUGCUCUAUGAUUUAUUUAAUGGCUGCAGUAUAUUGACUGUACAAAGGUAGCAUAAUCACUUGUCUCUUGAUUGGAGUCUAGAAUGAAUGGUUUGAUGAAAAAUAUACUUUCUUUAUUUUAUAUAAAAAAUUUAAUUUUUUAGUUAAAAAGCUAAAAUUCUUUUAUAGGACGAGAAGACCCUAUAGAACUUUAUUUUGAUUAUUUUAUAGUUAAUAUAGAAUAUAUUUUGAUUGUAGAAUUUUUAUAAUUUUGUUGGGGUGACAGAAAAAAAUAAAUAACUUUUUCUAUUUUAGUCAUAAGUUAAUGUGUUUUUGAUCCUAUUGUUUGGAUAUAAGAUUAAGUUACCUUAGGGAUAACAGCGUUAUUGUUUCAGAGAGUUCUUAUCGAUGAAACAGUUUGCGACCUCGAUGUUGGAUUAUAAUAAGAUAUAGGAGUAGAAUAUUAUAUUCUAGGUCUGUUCGACCUUUAAAUUUUUACAU